AGAUACCCUGGUAGUCCACGCCGUAAACGAUGUCGACUUGGAGGUUGUGCCCUUGAGGCGUGGCUUCCGGAGCUAACGCGUUAAGUCGACCGCCUGGGGAGUACGGCCGCAAGGUUAAAACUCAAAUGAAUUGACGGGGGCCCGCACAAGCGGUGGAGCAUGUGGUUUAAUUCGAUGCAACGCGAAGAACCUUACCUGGCCUUGACAUCCACGGAAUUCGGCAGAGAUGCCUUAGUGCCUUCGGGAACCGUGAGACAGGUGCUGCAUGGCUGUCGUCAGCUCGUGUUGUGAAAUGUUGGGUUAAGUCCCGCAACGAGCGCAACCCUUAUCCUUUGUUGCCAGCGAGUAAUGUCGGGAACUCAAAGGAGACUGCCGGUGACAAACCGGAGGAAGGUGGGGAUGACGUCAAGUCAUCAUGGCCCUUACGGCCAGGGCUACACACGUGCUACAAUGGCGCAUACAAAGAGAAGCGAACUCGCGAGAGCAAGCGGACCUCACAAAGUGCGUCGUAGUCCGGAUCGGAGUCUGCAACUCGACUCCGUGAAGUCGGAAUCGCUAGUAAUCGUAGAUCAGAAUGCUACGGUGAAUACGUUCCCGGGCCUUGUACACACCGCCCGU
RNAcentral lists this ribosomal RNA (618 nucleotides) under Erwinia billingiae. Its description in RNAcentral is "bacterial SSU rRNA". It matches the Rfam family "Bacterial small subunit ribosomal RNA", at positions 780 to 1397 of the family's 1533-position model. The record is from RNAcentral. Lineage: Bacteria; Pseudomonadati; Pseudomonadota; Gammaproteobacteria; Enterobacterales; Erwiniaceae.